UACGUAGGUGGCAAGCGUUGUCCGGAAUUAUUGGGCGUAAAGCGCGCGCAGGUGGUUUCUUAAGUCUGAUGUGAAAGCCCACGGCUCAACCGUGGAGGGUCAUUGGAAACUGGGGAACUUGAGUGCAGGAGAGAAGAGUGGAAUUCCACGUGUAGCGGUGAAAUGCGUAGAGAUGUGGAGGAACACCAGUGGCGAAGGCGACUCUUUGGCCUGUAACUGACACUGAGGCGCGAAAGCGUGGGAGCAAACAGG
This 252-nucleotide ribosomal RNA is filed under the name uncultured bacterium. RNAcentral describes it as "partial 16S ribosomal RNA". It matches the Rfam family "Bacterial small subunit ribosomal RNA", at positions 524 to 776 of the family's 1533-position model. The record is from RNAcentral.